CAGCCUAUGAGCCUCCAGCCCCUGCCCCAUUGCCUCCACCCUCAGCUGCCUCCUUGCAGCCCUCGAGAAAGCUCAGCCCCACAGAACCUAAGAACUAUGGCUCAUACAGCACUCAGGUACAGGAGAUGUGCAGGUGAGGGCUGGGGAGAAGGGCCAGUCCUGGGGCCCAGGGCUCACAUCUCCGUCUGCUCACACUGGGCAGGCCUCAGCUGCAGCAGCCACAGCUGAGCUGCUAAAGAAACAGGAGGAGCUCAACCGGAAGGCAGAGGAGUUGGACCGAAGGGAGCGAGAGCUGCAGCAUGCUGCCCUGGGGGGCACAGCUACUCGACAGAACAAUUGGCCCCCUCUACCUUCUUUUUGUCCAGUUCAGCCCUGCUUUUUCCAGGACAUCUCCAUGGAGAUCCCCCAAGAAUUUCAGAAGACUGUAUCCACCAUGUACUACCUCUGGAUGUGCAGCACGCUGGCUCUUCUCCUGAACUUCCUCGCCUGCCUGGCCAGCUUCUGUGUGGAAACCAACAAUGGCGCAGGCUUUGGGCUUUCUAUCCUCUGGGUCCUCCUUUUCACGCCCUGCUCCUUUGUCUGCUGGUACCGCCCCAUGUAUAAGGCUUUCCGGAGUGACAGUUCAUUCAAUUUCUUCGUUUUCUUCUUCAUUUUCUUCGUCCAGGAUGUGCUCUUUGUCCUCCAGGCCAUUGGUAUCCCAGGUUGGGGAUUCAGUGGCUGGAUCUCCGCUCUGGUGGUGCCGAAGGGCAACACAGCAGUAUCCGUGCUCAUGCUGCUGGUCGCCCUGCUCUUCACUGGCAUUGCUGUGCUAGGAAUUGUCAUGCUGAAACGGAUCCACUCCUUAUACCGCCGCACAGGUGCCAGCUUUCAGAAGGCCCAGCAAGAAUUUGCUGCUGGUGUCUUCUCCAACCCUGCGGUGCGAACCGCAGCUGCCAAUGCAGCCGCUGGGGCUGCUGAAAAUGCCUUCCGGGCCCCGUGACCCCUGACUGGGAUGCCCUGGCCCUGCCACUU
Molecule: small RNA, 1011 nt
Filed under: Pongo abelii (Sumatran orangutan)
Lineage: Eukaryota; Metazoa; Chordata; Mammalia; Primates; Hominidae
Description: processed transcript
Source: RNAcentral